UCUUUUCUUUCUGCUCCUCUUUUUUUCUGUGUUUCUUUUCUUUCUGUAUCCCUUUCUUUCUGUGUCUUAUUUCUGUAUCUUAUUUACAUUUCUUUUCUUUUUCUUUCUAUAUCCCUUUCUUUCUCUUUUCUUUCUGUAGCUCUUUCUUUUUGUGUCUUAUUUCUGUGUCUUAUUUACAUUUUUUUAUUUCUGUAUCUUUUUCUUUCCAUGUCUUAUUUAUAUUUUUUUAUUUUAUUUUUAUAUCUUAUUUAUGUGUCUUAUUUCUAUAUCUUAUUUAUAUUUUUUUAUUUUAUUUCUGUAUCUUAUUUAUAUUUUUUUAUUUUAAGUUAAUAUCUAUUAAUUUUAAAAUAUAAAUAUAAAUAAGCAAAUAUCUUUUAUUUGGAAUCAAUAAAAAUAUUAAAAAAAUUAAAAUC
Molecule: long non-coding RNA, 413 nt
Filed under: Elaeis guineensis (African oil palm)
Lineage: Eukaryota; Viridiplantae; Streptophyta; Magnoliopsida; Arecales; Arecaceae
Description: long non-coding RNA (EGUI_LNC026866)
Source: RNAcentral